GUCAAGAGAGGAGUGGCAUACAGCCCUGCUUUUACACAGGCUUCCUAAAUGCUUUGAGAUUUCUCAGCUGAACUGCAGAACAUAUGGCCACGUUGGCAUCUGUAGCAGGAUACUCUGUCUAAGUGGGGGUAAAACAGCUCAAAUUUUCUCCCAUUUGCAAAAGGUAUCAGUGAUGGAUGGAGAAGGUGGAUCAUGCUGCUUCAGGUGUUUGGAAAUGCUGAGACCAGCCUGACUUCACAACCCCAAAGCUAAACCUUCUGGGGACAUGAAAAACAGUCUUGCCUGAGAGAAAUCAGCACUGCUGAGGAUGUGGCACACAAAGUUCCUGAUAAAGGAAGCAACAAGUGAUAGCACUGAUAACUUAUCUGAGGCUGCUGAGCUGGCAAGGGAGCCUAGAAACAUCUGACUGACAGUCAAUCACUUUAUACUAUAAAAGCUCAGUUCCAUUUUUUAAUGGCAGGGACUUCAACACUUUCCUUCUGGAUACAUUUGUGGCAAUUCCUCCCUUGACUGGGGACACCCCUCAAGGCUAUUCCUUCAGGCCAAGUGGAAGAGAUUUGCCCCCAGUGUUGAUAUGGAUAAAAAAAAUCUUUUGACUAUUUUGAAGAGCACUACUGCUGGAUAGAGCAGAGAGAAAAGUGACAGCUUCUCUCACAGACAGCAUUCAAACUAUAAAAGACCAAAGCUUUCAGAGUGAAGAUAAACAUCUUUAGCAGCACUCAAAAAAUUAAAACUGGUGUCAGCAUCACCACUUCCUAUGGGUAAUUACCCUGUCGAACCAAUAUCCUUUCCUGCCUGCCAAGUCUGGUUAGAACUUCUGACCUGCAUUUUAAUCUCCAUCCUUAUGUCAACUAGACGGUGUAAAAUAACAUCACACUACCCAGGUUACAAAGGAGAUGUUCUAUACAAGCCUGCAAUCAAAAAUACUGCACUGUAUCCCACAGCAAACCUCCAUAUGUAUACAACAGGAAGGAUGAAAGUACUGGAUGCUGAAGUCUACCAUCACCAAAGAACUCAAGACAGAAAACAAGUUUCCUUUUAUUUCACAAAGACGGGAAGGCAAUCACAUAAGAGGUGUUUUGUUGUGGUUUUUUUUCCCUUUCAAACUGCACAGUUCAAAUGAAGUGGUGGUACAUUAUAAUUGCCUUUUCCAAGCAGCCUAUUCAAUUUUCAGGGUACUGAUAAAGACUCUGCUAAAGUGCUAUCUAUGGUGGAUGUUUUGUGAUGUGAGCAGCAGUCCCACUAGGAAGGGGACAAAGGGUAUGGAUGCAGCCUCUUUGCAGGGAUAUUCAAGUUCACCUCGUAUUCAAGUAGGCUCCCAUUUGCCCAGGAGUGACAGGGAUGUGUGCAGCACGGCGUGAAGUCUGAGCUAAUGUAUCCUCCCUUUCUGCAGGGAUAGCAGCUCUCAGGAUAGUGCUUCACAGGAGUGGUCACUCAGCCUUUGAUGUGAGGCAGCUGGGGUCUUGGAGGUGUCAGGGAAGACUCAAACCUCCCUGCAAAAUGAGAUACCUCAAGAUAUGCCAGGCCCAACUAACAUCUUAAUUAGACAGCAAGAAGUAAUGUCUUUUUUACAUGAAUCAGCCUUAAAUGUCUUCCCAUAAAAAAUUAAAAGCGAUAUAAUUCCACUAACCAUGGCUUGAGCUCCCCACUCCUUUCUGUUUCUAAUGAAACUCUUUGUAGGAGACAAAUUUGCCAUGGGAAAUGACCAGAUCUCAUAGGACAGGUGAGUUAAUAAAGCCCUUUGAAAAGAUAAUAUCUUUUACUAGGCAGGACAGUUGAGUGAAUUCUUCAGAGCAAACACAAUUUUUGAUUAAUAUUUAUUGCUUGUAGAGUUGGUUAUAGCCAUCAUAAUUUUCUCUGACUUCUCCUAUACUCAGCAUUAUUCCACAAUGUGCAACUUGUUUUCAGACCACAUAUAACCUGUGUUAUUUGACUGAGAUUGGGGAUAAUUUGAUUUUGGCACAAGGAUGACAUCAUCUUCCACUUCUUGACACAACUGACACCUAAAUCUUACAGAUGCUUCUCCAGUUAAUAAUUUGCUGUUUUCAUUUCACCAAUGUUCUCUAGCAUUUGUGAAGUAAUUACUGCUCUCAGAGUGAUUGCUACAAAUUUCAUCAAAAACAUAAGGGGUGCAACUUUGUUCUUACUUGCCUUAUACUGACAUCUAGAGAAAAAUAUUCCUUAGCUAUUGCUUUUAAAUAUCUUGCAGAGCAUGGAAUGUGGCUCACCUGUGACCUUAUUCACCAUGUGGAAGAAUUUUCCCAGUCUAAAUUUAGUAACAAAAAGUAUUUUUCAAAUCAUGCAAAUUGUACAGUACAUUUUCCACUUCCACCAGAAAGCCUGUUGUAGAAGUGUCCCUUUAGUGGAGGGAAAAAUAAUAAUUCUUUAACUGUUUUUCUGUUUUCUGCAAUUCAUCCUCCCUUUACUUUUACUGUUUAUAUCUCCCCAUAUAAGAACAUUCCCUGUACCUGAUCAUCAUUUUUCAGAAUGUCCCAUUAUCUUCUGAAAUUGAAUCACCCUUUUCACUGCUGGGGCUUAUGGGGAUUACCAAGCCUGACAAAUAACUUUAUAUUUAUAAACACACAACUCAGGCUUCCUCAGAGAAGGAGGGAACUUCAGAUUUAUGUUUUUAGGAGUCUUGCACUAGGUAUUUUGCAGAUUUUAAAACAGUCUUCGCCCAAAUGACAAUCCUAAAAUUCUCUAUAAGGGUAUAUGCCAUUAAGCUAAUGAGAACAUUAAUGGUGGCAGUAUUUUCAGACAGACACAUUCUAUCCCUCUUUCCUGUCUUUUCCUGAUAGAAAAAAGUGAUAGAUGAUGCUCAUCUACAGAGUAUUGGUACUUCUGAGUCGCCAUUGGGAGGAAUGCACUCAGCUGCAUCUUCCAAGCUUUUCACUUGCAUUUUAACUCUAGAAUAUGCUACAGCCCAGGCUCAACUAAUGCCAUUGUCAGGGUGCUGGGCAUCUCCUUUUCAGCCUUGUUCCCUGUGACCCAGCUCACAGGCACACAGCUCAGCUCUUCAGCUCAGAUUGCAGACUCCUGCUUCGAGCCCAUCAUGUGUCCACCUCAGUCCCUGGGGCUGGCCCUGAGCCAAUCAACUACAGUUGUGCUCCAGUAUUCCUCAGUUUGCUCACAGCACAAGUCAUGUCUCAGAAAAAAACCAAAGUACAAUUUGUUCUCCACAGGAGAAAAGCAAGUCACAAAGCAAAUGUGCUUUGAAAAACAGAAUACAUUUCCAGAGACAUAAUUUUGAAAAAUAUUAAUUACUGUAUAUGUUUCUUAUAGUAGGGAUUAGAUUAUAUUUGUCUUCUAUAGGUUCCUUUCACUAUCUUCUUCCCUUCACUUUUCUUCCCAGGAAAUACCUCCUCCACUGCAGGUAAGAACACCUAUUGUGUAUCUAAUUAAAAUUCUAGUCACAGGCUAAUUAGUAAAGUACCAAUUAGAGUGGGAUUAAGGCUUCAAUAUAUUACAGACAUUCCAAAGCAGAAAUCUUUCCAAGUGUGAGGUUUCCAGCCUCUGAAAAAGAUACUGUGAAUGUUUCCUUUUUACCCACGUUUCAAGCUGAAAACUUUUAUGAUAUUAGUAGUGCUAGAAAGAAAAUAAUAAAUAAACAAAUAAUAUAGUUUGAUUGGAACUAUUUUGACUACAAUUUCAUAUUCAUGCUUAUCAUGUAUCAGAAGCAUAAUUGGUCUAUUUUUUAAUAUACUUUUCUGGUUUAUAAAAUGUGGGUGGGAAUAUCAUGUAAUAUGCAUAACAUGAGAGCUAAAUGCCUCAUUUAUCUUUCCUUUCCUGUUGUGCUGCUUGGAUUAUGAGCACUACAAUAAACUUUCUCACAAAUAA
Molecule: long non-coding RNA, 3837 nt
Organism: Melospiza melodia melodia
Lineage: Eukaryota; Metazoa; Chordata; Aves; Passeriformes; Passerellidae
Exons: 2
Source: RefSeq, a predicted model, not a curated record